UUUUUUUAAUUUGGGUAGAGUUUUCUUUAGUUUUCUUUUUAUUAAAGUUUUUUUAACUCUAGAGUUAGGGAUCGUUGCAGGUCUACGUUUUUUGUUUCUCUUACGCUUUCUAACACUUGUUUCUUCUUGUGUUAGCAGAUAUUAAAGGCACGCACAAUUCCUUCAUCCGUGUAGCCUCCAUUACAAAUUGCCUCGUCAAGUUUAUUG
RNAcentral lists this long non-coding RNA (207 nucleotides) under Gossypium raimondii (Peruvian cotton). RNAcentral's name for it is "long non-coding RNA (GRAI_LNC011278)". The record is from RNAcentral. Lineage: Eukaryota; Viridiplantae; Streptophyta; Magnoliopsida; Malvales; Malvaceae.